GCAGGCUGCAACUCGCCUGCAUGAAGCUGGAAUUGCUAGUAAUCGCGGAUCAGCAAGCCGCGGUGAAUACGUUCCCGGGCCUUGUACACACCGCCCGUCACACCAUGAGAGUCGGGAACACCCGAAGUCCGUAGUCUAACCGCAAGGGGGGCGCGGCCGAAGGUGGGUCCGGUAAUUGGGGUGAAGUCGUAACAAGGUAUC
RNAcentral lists this ribosomal RNA (201 nucleotides) under uncultured bacterium. RNAcentral describes it as "partial 16S ribosomal RNA". It matches the Rfam family "Bacterial small subunit ribosomal RNA", at positions 1300 to 1500 of the family's 1533-position model. The record is from RNAcentral.